CUGAAGUGAUCUGCCCACCUCGGCUUCCCAAAGUGCUGGGACUGCAGGUGUGAGCCACUGCGCCUGGCCCCUUCAGGUGGGUUUUGAGGCUUCACGUUGCUGCUGCAAUAAAUUACCACACACUUAGUGGCUUAAAACAGCACAGAGGUAUUCCCUUACAUUUCUGAAGGCCAGAAUUCUAAAAUCAGUCCCACUGAGUCAAGGUGGGAGCAGGGUCAGUGCCUUCCCAGGCUCUGCGGGAGAAUCUGUUUCCUGGCCCUGGAGGCGGCCUGUACUCCUUAGCUUGUGCUGCCCUUCUGGAAUGACUCGAGUUUCCUGCUUUCAUCACUACACCUCCCACCGCUCUCCAUCACCUGCUGUGCUCUUACGAGGAUCCAGCUGAGACAUGUUUUAGGAAGUUUGCUAAAAGACCCCUGGAGACGUCCUCAUUGUGGCCUCCCUGCUGUUGUGUUUAAUUUGGUUGAUCUUCUCUGCCCUCCUGCUUUUCAGAAUUAAAAGGCUAAAAAGAGUUUUCAGAGAAAUGGAAUAAUUGUAUUGCUGAUCUACGUAAACAAGUUGAAGAAUUGUCUGAAAGAAAAUAUGGUGUGUCUGAACUGGAAAAGUCCUGUGAUAGUUUGUUCAUGAGCAUUUACACAAUGGAGUUACUGUUCAUCAUGGGGGUACUGUGGACAAGCCCAGGGCUGCUGACAUAAUCUUAUGAAUUCAACACAUGAAGAUUUACAACUUGAUAAACCAGCUUCAGGAGAUCAGAACUUCUUACAAUACAACUGAUGUUACUCAGCCUAGAACAAAUACAACAGGGAUUGUGCUGCAUUCUGACUUAGGUUCUGCCAUCGAACACAGAAUGCCCUGAUCCUUAGAGGCAGAGGCAGCUCUUCAGCCUAUGGGAAAACUGUGGAUUUAGUUACUCCACUCUGCCAUGUCCUUCCACCACUGCCUGCACAUUUGAGACCAAGGAUAGAGAUUGGGAAAAAUCCAUAGUUCUCCUGACUCAGAGUUUGGCUCCGGCACUCUCAUUUCAGCCAUAGCUGCAGACAAAGCACACGACUGCUGGGCACUGUGGCUCAAGAGAAGGGGGAGAUGCAGGAAGAAGAUGAGCCUUAAGUCUGAACACUGAGGAAUUCAUGUGCAUCAGUCAGACCUCCUGUGCAAGGAAGGAUGUGGUUACUACGGCAACCCUGCCUGGCAGGGUUUCUGCUCCAAGUGCUGGAGGGAAGAGUACCACAAAGCCAGGCAGAAGGAGAUUCAGGAGGACUGGGAGCUGGCGGAGCGACUCCAGUGGGAGGAAGAGGCCUUUGCCAGCAGUCAGAGCAGCCAAGGGGCCCAAUCCCUCACAUUCUCCAAGUUUGAAGGAAAGAAAACCAACGAGAAGACCCACGAGGUUACCACAGUGAAGAAAUCUUCAGUGCGUCUUCCAGGGUCGGAUCAAAGAAGGCAGAAAUUCAGGAAGCAAAAGCCAGUCCUUCCAUAAACCGGCGAACCAGCAUUGAAACGGAUAGAGUGUCUAAGGAGUUCAUAGAAUUUCUCAAGACCUUCCACAAGACAGGCCAAGAAAUCUAUAAACAGACCAAGCUGUUUUUGGAAGGGAUGCAUUACAAAAGGUGCCUCCAGAAAGGGUUGAGAAGAUAAUGGAUCAGAUUGAAAAGUACAUCAUGACUCAUCUCUGUAAAUAUGCGUUCUGUCCAGAACCCCAGUGAGCCUGGAAGACUGGGUGCUAUGGGAAAUGUCAUCAAUCCAAUGCUAGUGAAAGAUGUGACUGGGGAAUGCUGAAAAAUGCGCACCCCUGGGAGGAAUGAGGAAAGAUGACAUCCACUGACUUGUUAUUUUUUUGAGAAGGAGUCUUGCUCUGUUGCCCAGGCUGGAGUGUGGUGGCACGAUCUCGGCUCACUGAUGAUGAGAAGAAAGAUCUUGCCAUUCAAAAGAGGAUCAGAGUGGAAGCUUCUCUGUGGUGUCAGAAAGACGAGGAAUGUGGUGACCUCACCUAUCCAUCUCCCUCAAGGCAGCUUUUGUUUUUCUGCAGUGACCGUACUUGCAAUAAUUAAACAUAGUUGGUCAUUUAAAAUACAUCUCUGAUACUCUCGUCAAAGGUGGAGCCCAGUCCCUAUCGCCUUGAGUGAGGGCUGGGUUACGUGAUUCCCUUCUGACAGAUAGGAAAAAGCAAAAGUGAUGGCUUGCAACUUUGCAAACUACAUCAUAAAAGGUACUGUGGCUUCCUCCUUGCUCACUCUUUGAUUACUCACUUGGGAAAGCCAGCUGUCACACCAUGACACCUAAGCAGCCUGUAGAGAGGCUCAUGUAACAGGAACUGAGGCCUCCUGUCAGCAGUCACAUGAGGGAGCCAUCUUGGAAACAGGCUUUAGGUGACUGCAGUCUCAGUGGACAGCUUGAGUGCAAUGUCAUGAGACACCCUGAGCCCAAAUGACCCAGCUAUGCCACUCCUGAAUUCCUGACCCACAGAAAUGGAGAUCCUAAACCUGAACUGGUUAUUUCCUACUUGCCUCCUGGAGUUGCUAAUAAAAUAAACACUAAAGCUUCGCAGUUUCUAAAAAGACCAUGAAGCCCUGAGAGUAAUGAAAAGGUUCCUGAAAUUGAGGUCACUGUGGAAGGAGAAUCUAAUGCCUGAUGAUCUGUCACUAUCUCCCAUCACCCCCAGAUGGGACCAUCUAGUUGCAGGAAAAGAAGGUCAAGACUCCCAGUCAUUCUACAUUAUGCCUCAGCCAAGAUGUCUCACCCCACUCUCUCUGAUGCAACAAGAAGCCCCUGGAGAACGUUUCAGUCCCAUUUUGUACUUCUGUCAUGUGCUCAUCACAGUCUGGUGGAAUUUAAAUGACCUCUUAUCAAGAUGGAUAAACCCAAGUUUCCCAGUGCUGGAAUAUAGAAAAUGGAUGGACAAGUAAGUCCCACUCAGCACCCAUAGCCCAGACAUGGGGACCUCAACACACCUGGGCCCCAGACAUCACCUUUCAUUCCGAGGCAUAUGCCAUUCAAGCUAAGGGUGCUACACUUGACCACUGCGGCAGUAUAGAUGAGUCUGAAGAAUGGUAUGGGAUGGAUACUUACGAAUGCACUCGAGCAGGGGUCUCCAUCCACAGGGCCACAGAGCCAGAGGUGAGCAGCAGCUGGAUCUACCAUGAAAGACUUCAGAGUCCAGGAAGAGAGACUGAUUGGGCAACAUGUUAUUCAGUUACAAAAAGACUUGGACUAUGACUCAAAAAUGAUCAAAUAAUAGUGCAUGCAUCCAAUGCAAUAAGAAGCACUUCUGGAGGGUGAGAGAAGCAUCCAGUUAAGGUGACAUUGAAGCUGGGUCCUGAAAGAUGAGGAAGAAUUGUAUGAGAGUGGGCAGAGAAGGGGGAGGUGGAGGGAUGGGGAAUGGGCUGAGAUGGAGUGAGCUGCUCAAGCAGGGAAACCAGCACUGUAAAGACCUGGUCAAUAAAGAUGGCACAUUUUAUUCAGGGAAUGGUGAAUUAAUUGUGGCAGGAAUGCUUUGGAGAGAGAGUAAUUUGCUUGUAUGGAAUUUUGCCCAAGAGACCUCAUUACAGUUUCUAAUCUUUUGAUGUUAUCGUCUAUCACUGUCCUUGUCAGAUAGUUUGGAAUAGGUAUAAUGAUCACAAUAACAUCAAGCAUAAUAUUUCAUUAAUUCUCACAAAAUCACAGGUAGGUGCCACAGUUAUCCCCAUUUUGUGAAUGAAGUGAUGAAGACUUAGGAAUGAUGAGUGAUUGCCCAAGCUCACCUGGAUAUUAAGAGGUCUUGCUCUGUUGUCCAGGCUGGAAUGUGGUAGUGCUAU
This 3785-nucleotide long non-coding RNA is filed under the name Homo sapiens (human). RNAcentral's name for it is "HSALNT0341572". The record is from RNAcentral. Lineage: Eukaryota; Metazoa; Chordata; Mammalia; Primates; Hominidae.